Long non-coding RNA from Passer domesticus (house sparrow), 279 nucleotides. RefSeq lists it as uncharacterized. The transcript has 3 exons. Lineage: Eukaryota; Metazoa; Chordata; Aves; Passeriformes; Passeridae. The record is from RefSeq and is a predicted model, not a curated record.
CUCAGCCUGUCCUGGCUUCUCUGUGGCUGCACUGGCUCACGUGGAAGUGAAGGAGCAGCUGAUAGUGAUCUGCAUUGAUUCCUGUGACCUGCUAAAUCUGAAGCAAUAUUUUGAGACCAUACAUCUAUUUCGUUGGGGAAGUCCAGAGCAAAAUCAGAUGUCAGACAUAUAGAAAUGAGAUGCUAAACUAUGGCUUCUGUUUCUGGAAGAAUAUUUGCUGUCACAUUGGAAACCCUGAUACCAUGUCUCUAAGUUUAGAGUCUCAAUGCUAAACUGACC